UACGUAGGGGGCAAGCGUUGUCCGGAAUCAUUGGGCGUAAAGCGCGUGUAGGCGGUCCGGUAAGUCUGUUGUGAAAGUCCAGGGCUCAACCCUGGGAUGCCGACCGAUACUGUCGGACUAGAGUUCGGAAGAGGCGAGUGGAAUUCCCGGUGUAGCGGUGAAAUGCGCAGAUAUCGGGAGGAACACCAAUGGCGAAGGCAGCUCGCUGGGACGUUACUGACGCUGAGACGCGAAAGCGUGGGGAGCAAACAGG
RNAcentral lists this ribosomal RNA (253 nucleotides) under uncultured bacterium. RNAcentral's name for it is "partial 16S ribosomal RNA". It matches the Rfam family "Bacterial small subunit ribosomal RNA", at positions 524 to 776 of the family's 1533-position model. The record is from RNAcentral.